RNAcentral lists this ribosomal RNA (467 nucleotides) under uncultured bacterium. RNAcentral describes it as "partial 16S ribosomal RNA". It matches the Rfam family "Bacterial small subunit ribosomal RNA", at positions 28 to 506 of the family's 1533-position model. The record is from RNAcentral.
GACGAACGCUGGCGGCGUGCUUAACACAUGCAAGUCGAACGGAAAGGCCCUGCUUUUGUGGGGUGCUCGAGUGGCGAACGGGUGAGUAACACGUGAGUAACCUGCCCUUGACUUUGGGAUAACUUCAGGAAACUGGGGCUAAUACCGGAUAGGAGCUCCUGCUGCAUGGUGGGGGUUGGAAAGUUUCGGCGGUUGGGGAUGGGCUCGCGGCUUAUCAGCUUGUUGGUGGGGUAGUGGCUUACCAAGGCUUUGACGGGUAGCCGGCCUGAGAGGGUGACCGGCCACAUUGGGACUGAGAUACGGCCCAGACUCCUACGGGAGGCAGCAGUGGGGAAUAUUGCACAAUGGGCGGAAGCCUGAUGCAGCAACGCCGCGUGCGGGAUGACGGCCUUCGGGUUGUAAACCGCUUUCGCCUGUGACGAAGCGUGAGUGACGGUAAUGGGUAAAGAAGCACCGGCUAACUACGU